Chrysoperla carnea is the source of this 2042-nucleotide RNA transcript. It is a transcript of the gene named serine/threonine-protein kinase NLK, with no coding region annotated. The record is from RefSeq and is a predicted model, not a curated record. Lineage: Eukaryota; Metazoa; Arthropoda; Insecta; Neuroptera; Chrysopidae. The transcript has 9 exons.
UAGACUGAUAUUUUAGUGUUUUGUGUACAACAAAAAGCCAAACAAGAGCACGUUAAUUAGAUAAAAUUCCGAAUUAGUUUAAACUUGUGUGAGCUACUUUCUUAACAAUAUUUGGGUGUUUUAAAAAAAAAAAGUUGUGUUGUUUUGUAAUCGUAAACAUUCCAAUUUAAUUUAAAUAUAAUUACCAGUUAUUUUAAUUAAAAAAAACUAGUUCUGCUUUUAAAUAUUCCCUUUGAACUUUUGCGGUUUCAAAAAAAAAAGUUAAUGAAGUGAUAUCUGUUUUUCAAAUAAAAAUUUGUGCGACCAAUUAAUUGUCCAUUUAGGGGGCGAAGUGUGUUCAUGGCUGUGGUGGGCCCAAGUAGGCACUCACGGGUGUCAAUGUCCGUCUCAAUGUCGAGUUCGGGGGCAGCGCCCGGCGGUAAUGGUGGUGCAACAGCACAACAAGCAAUUCUUGCAUCUCAACAACCCUACGCGUAUCACCAUCAUACAGCAUCAACGGGUGCCACUACACAACAUGGGGCCCCUACUGCCGCUAUUCCACCGGCUCAAGCACAACAGGCACAUACACAACCGGAUCCAGUUCAACCAGAUAGACCCAUUGGAUAUGGUGCUUUUGGAGUUGUUUGGGCGGUGACCGAUCCACGUGAUGGACGUCGUGUUGCAUUAAAAAAAUUACCAAAUGUAUUUCAAUCACUUGUCUCAUCGAAACGAGUGUUUCGUGAAUUAAAAAUGUUAUGCUUUUUCAAACAUGAAAAUGUACUUUCGGCAUUGGAUAUUCUUCAACCUCCACAUUUAGACUUCUUCCAAGAAAUAUACGUUAUAACAGAAUUACUGCAAAGUGAUUUACAUAAAAUUAUUGUAUCACCGCAACAUCUUUCAUCGGAUCAUAUCAAAGUGUUCCUGUACCAAAUACUUAGAGGACUGAAAUAUUUACACUCAGCUAGAAUUUUACAUAGGGACAUUAAACCAGGAAAUUUACUUGUGAACAGUAAUUGUGUAUUAAAGAUCUGUGAUUUUGGCUUAGCACGUGUAGAAGAACCCGAUCAAAGUAAACAUAUGACACAAGAGGUGGUAACACAGUAUUAUCGUGCACCCGAAAUAUUAAUGGGUGCACGACAUUAUUCGGCUGCCGUUGAUGUAUGGAGUGUUGGUUGUAUAUUUGGUGAAUUAUUAGGUCGUAGAAUAUUAUUUCAAGCACAAAGUCCUGUACAACAGUUGGAAUUAAUCACUGAAUUAUUGGGUACACCAUCACCGGAUGAUAUGCGUUACGCAUGUGAGGGAGCACGUACACAUAUGCUACGUAAAGCGCAUAAACCGUCUAAGUUAUCUGCAUUAUAUUCAUUAUCUGGGCAAGCAACACAUGAAGCUGUACAUUUAUUAUGUCAAAUGCUUGUAUUUGAUCCGGAUCGACGUAUAACAGUUGUAAACGCUUUAGCACACCCGUAUCUUGACGAAGGACGUUUACGAUACCAUUCAUGUAUGUGUAAAUGUUGUUACACGACAGCCGGUGGUAUGCGACAAUAUACAGCUGACUUUGAAACUAUUGCACAACAACCAUUUGAUGAUUUGUGGGAGCGAAAACUUACAUCCGUUCAACAAGUUAAAGAGGAAAUGCACAAGUUUAUAGCGGAACAAUUAAAUACAUCACGUGUACCAUUAUGUAUAAAUCCGCAAAGUGCAGCUUUCAAGAGCUUCGCCAGGUAAGAGGCGCGCGCACGGGCGGGUCAACAACAUUCAAGUGUAACGAACGGCCGUACCCACCACCACCACAAAAAAACACCACCAAUAAUUAUAAAAAUAAUAUCACCCAAAAAACCAUCUCCACAAAAUCAAAAUAUAAAAUCACCAUUAUCGCGCGGCGCCAACAUUCUCCAUUGCAUAGAAAAGGGAAAAAUUGCUCCCCUUUCAAGACAACAAUUAAAAUCCUCAUGUCACCCGUCAUCUUUUUAUAUGCCGCGUGACACACGACAUUUCAUUUCUACUUCUCUUCACCAUACCAGACCACACAUCGAUUCAAAAUUUCGUUCACGAAUAUAGUUUCU